UUUUUUUUUUUAAGUCUUUUCUCCUUCCAGGUUUCAAACAUGAAUACUGAGUAUCUUGAUUCUCUCCUCUCCCACUACCCCUGGCUGUCCCCAACAUGUCCCUCUCCUACCUUCCUUUCCUCUCAGAUUUCUCUUCUUUAUUUCCUUCUUUCCUUCCUGUAUUCAUUCCCCCCACCCUUCCUUCUCUUUUUUUAACCCAGAAAGCGCAGUUGCUGCUGCCUGCCAUGUCUGGAAGUCAUCUCACAGUACCCUCCUUUGGCCUUUACAUUCUUUUCUUUCCCUCUUCCAUAGUCAUGUCUCCUGAGCUUUAGAGAGUGGUGUGUCUUCUUUAGGGCAGAGCACUCACAGUCCCUUUCUCAGCACCUAACUGGGUGCUGCAUUGACUGCAGAAAGAGACUUCCCUGGUCAAGGUUGAAAGCAGCACUUACCUGUGGCUAUAAGCAUGACUAAUUCAGAAGGCAGUUUGUCCAUCUAGCAGAACAGCAGUGCCAGGUUCUUCUCCUGUCACUCCCAAGGCCUUAGUGACCACUGCUCAUCCCUGACCACUCUCCCAUCCUCUGCCCAGAGCCUCAAGCCUUUGACCUGCUCUGUUCAACCAGAAAGUGGUUGGUUGACAUCAUAACCUUCAUGGGCUGUUGUUCCAGUAGACAUACCUUGUCAAGCUGGUUGGUACUCUUGUUCAAGAUUCGCUGCUGGAUAAAACCAUUGAUGACGUUUCUCCUCCAAUGGUCCAAAGCACUCUAUGGUGUUAUGAAAGCUAGCCAGCAGAGGAGAAAUUUUGAAUCAAUUCCAUCUUGAUUUCUCUAAUGUCCAACCAAAGUGUGCUGUCGUUUCAGCAGUAGUCUUACAGUCUAGCUCUUGGGCAACUAAUGACUUGACUUGCUUGCAUUGUUUGGGGGCCUCCCUGACUAACAAAUCAUGGCAAGUAUCUCAUGCCAGGGUGUGUGUGUGUGUGUUUUGUUUUUAAUAAUUCCUGGGUAAUAUUCCACAGAAUAGUCAAUAUUGCUGUUAAACUGCCUGUCCACCCAUUAAAGAACAUCAUAGUUAUUUGAGUUCAAAGCUUACCAUGAUAAAAACUGUAUGUUCGUGUUUAUGUGAACAUACUUUUUCACUUCUCCAAAUGUUCAAUAAAGUCAUUUUGGUGAUAAAAUAGUAUGUCACUGUGGGGCCUCUACCACAGUUUCUGUAGGUCAUAGUUUCUAGAUAGAAUUUUAAUAGGUCUUCUCAGUAUUUCUAUAGUUUUAAAUAUUACCUAGAUGAUGGUCUUUAGGGAAAUUAUAUUUUUUCAGUAUUGAUUUCUAGACAUUUACGUAAGUACCAAAUACAGUUUAAGCAUUUCCUUUAAAUUUUUUUAGAGUUAUUUAUCUAAGUAGAUAUAAUUUUGAAGUGUUUCACGUCCUGAAAAGAAACUCCACACACACAGUAGGCACUUUCCAUUCUACCUCCAUUCCUCUCACAUCCCGCCCCACCCCCACCCACCCCCUGCCCCUGGCAGCCACGUUUGUACUUUGUGUUUCUUCAGUCAGGUUCUGGGCAUUGAAUGGAAUGGGAUAGCUUUUUGUGUGUUGGGCUAAGUAACACAUGCCAUGUUUUUCUGUCCCAUCUUGUCACAGCACACUUUGUUGAUUUGUUGUUUGACUCUUGAGUUGCUUUAACUUUGGGCUGAUAGAAUAAGAUAUCAUAGAUUUUCAUCCUCUCAAGUGAAUGUCUAAAAUUGCCGGGCAACGUGAAGUUCUGUGUUGUUCCAAGGACUUCUUAAACUGUUUUCCAUAGCACAUACACCAUUACACAGCGGCACUGGACUGGAGGGUCUGAGUCCGGCAGCCCAUAGUUUCUAUAGGUAGAAUUUCCAGAUAGAAUUAUUUCCAGAUAAAAUGUUAAUAGCUCUUCUCAGUAUUUCUGCACUUCUAAAUAUUUCCUAGAUGAUGGUCUUUAGAGAACUUGUAAUACGCAUCUGCUUUUAUUUCUUUAGUAUUGGUUUCUAGGCGUUUACAUAAAUACCAAAAAAAGUUGAAGCAUUUAACCAGAGGCAGGUAUAUCUCUGGACAUUUGAGCCAGCCUGGUCUAUAUAGUGAGCUCCAGGCCAGUCAGGGUUGCAUAGUAAGACCCUGUCUCAAACAACAGAACAACAAACCGAACAACCACAAAACCUCACAAAUAUCCCAGGUUCCCCAACAACAACAAAUAUCCCAGUGCCAAUACCCGUUACUACCUGCCUUCAGUAUAACUUACCAUGGUGGCUCUUACAUGGGCCUGAGCUGUUGCAGCAACAAUGCUUGGCUGGCCUCCUUGGUGCUAACAACCACAGUGACUCUGCUUUUGUUCAGAGUUCCCUGUGAACCCAAUUGACUGCCUCAGGCUUGCUGUGUAAGAAGGGGGGAGAAUUGUGGGUGUCCCCCCCCCCAAGAAGAAUUGCUGCUGUUGUGACAUAGAAUAGCAUUGAAAACUUUUAAAAUUUAAGAUGGAAAAGUCUUCUGUUUUAAAAAUAGUUCAGACCCUGCUUUUUGGCUUAAAGAACUAACAGCCAGGGGCUUCUCAUAGAACUUCACAUCAACUAGGGGAGUCUGCAGGAGAGAUGGCUGUGCUGUGCAAUGCAUGCUGGGUAUGUGCCAUAAAUGUGGGGCGGGGCAGUAUUAGGACACCUAAGAAUUAAUGUCUGUGGUGGUAGAGUUUGGUUUCAUUUGGAGAGAUGGUUGGAACAGAAGUGGUCCUCCUUCCUCUUGGCUGGUAAAAUUACAGCAAACAAGGAAAUGUGCCAGAAUCUGUUGGGAUAAAAACCAGCGUGUCCUUGCGCCUGCUGUCUAGGCUUUGUCAGUGUAAUAUGAUACAUGGAUGGGAUGGGUGUAUAAGCAUCAGCAGCUGUAACUGUAAGCUAGGACGUGGACAUUUAUUUGUUAGAUUCAGAGGCCCAUUUAGAGAGCUUUUACCAGAGGAAUGAUCCUGAACUUCUAGGGAUGGCUUCCAGACAUCUGUGCUUGAAGGUUCUGGGUGAUUGUGAGUACAGCCAGGUUUGAAAAGUUAUUGCUAGGAAACUGUGUGACUCCAGGAGGACAAGUGUGUCCUCACUUGUCCAAGCUUAACACGGGCAGUCACAUUCACAUCCAGGUUCUCUCUAAAGGUACAGGUGUGAACUCCAGAGGUGUCACUCUUGAAGAGCUUAGACCUAAUCAGAAUUGUGGACAAAUGAACAGAUAGUUGUAUUUUAACUAAUAAUUACAUUUUA
This 3223-nucleotide long non-coding RNA is filed under the name Mus musculus (house mouse). Its description in RNAcentral is "long non-coding RNA chr9:77943691-77946914". Lineage: Eukaryota; Metazoa; Chordata; Mammalia; Rodentia; Muridae. The record is from RNAcentral.